Non-coding RNA from Paralichthys olivaceus (Japanese flounder), 1143 nucleotides. NCBI's taxonomy places the organism in Eukaryota, Metazoa, Chordata, Actinopteri, Pleuronectiformes, Paralichthyidae. The record is from RefSeq and is a predicted model, not a curated record.
UGUGGUGUGUGGCACUAGAUACUGACAUCACUACAGGACCUCAACGCCGUGUUCCAGCUGAUUUAAUGGGCUGAAGACGUUGUUGUGUGUCCAUGACAUGGUAGACCAAGAAGCUCUCCUUGGAUCCUUGAAGGAAUGGAUGGAUUAUGCUGCCAUUGCUUAAGCCCUCCGCAUCUUCCCACUGUGACCUGACAUCAGCUUUGACAGCUCUGCGAUAUUCUCCGCCAGAAUCCUUGGCUGCCUGCGACCAAUGAAACAACCAGGAACGGCUCUGAUAAUCCUCUUCAUCUGCAUUGUGGAGCUCAACAGCGUGUGUGGAGGAGUGUCUCCUGUUCCCCCUGUCCUCUCCCUCUCCAGGAGCAUCAAAAGGAGGAGGACCCACGCAGGGUGUUUGAAGAGCCCACCGACACUCCCCUAUGGGUGGUGAACUGGCAGAUGCUCAAACCACGCAACUCUAUCUAGGCGGGAGGAGCAUCCUUCUCAUCUGCUUUUGUAGCCCUGCCAUUGGUUUUCCUUGCAGCCAUGUACCAGACAUUAGUCAACUGUAUUGUCGUUUGUAGAUUUGUAUUUUAACCCAUUACAUUGUGUGAUCAAUUAAUGCAGAGCACCUUUCAGUUUUAAGAGUUAUGACCAUUUGUUGUUGGUUUUGUUUAUUUAUAGUUAAUUGCUGUCCUCUUGUAUUUCAUGGAUUGGCAUGAAACUUUGUUGACAUUCAUAGUCCCCAGAGGAUGAAACCCACUGAGCUCUGGUGACUGUAAAAACCCGUUUUUAUUAGUCAUUGAUUUUUUUCAGCAAAACAAGUUGCAAUGACCCACAGAAGCUAACCAACCUUCAUCAGGGGGAAUAACUCUGUCACUGUCAACGUUAAACACUUGCUAGCCUAAAGCAUAAUUGAGGCUAAAAACAACUAAAUGACUCCAGUUACAAUCGUGCUCGCUCCAUUCAAAAUGAACGUCUAUUGUUUAGUUUUGAAAUAUGAGACAACACACAAAAAGUAAUGUUUAUUCCUAUGGUUUAUAUGGUAUCCUCUAGCAUUGUUUAUUCCAUUUAUUUGGAAUUCAAAAAUGCGUAGGAGCUGUGCCACUGUUAGAGCAAACCCAGCUUUACCACCAGAAGAGAGGAUAAACCACUGUGACUGCUCGU